UCCUUGGUGGUCUAGUGGUUAGGACUCUGCUCUCUCACUGUUGAGGGCCUGAGUUUGAUCCCCGGUCAGGGAA
Ovis aries (sheep) is the source of this 73-nucleotide non-coding RNA. The record is from Rfam. NCBI's taxonomy places the organism in Eukaryota, Metazoa, Chordata, Mammalia, Artiodactyla, Bovidae.